Molecule: ribosomal RNA, 253 nt
Filed under: uncultured bacterium
Lineage: Bacteria
Description: partial 16S ribosomal RNA
Rfam family: Bacterial small subunit ribosomal RNA
Source: RNAcentral
UACGGAGACUGCAAGCGUUAAUCGGAAUUACUGGGCGUAAAGCGUGCGUAGGCGGUUUAUUAAGCGAGAUGUGAAAUCCCGGGGCUCAACCUCGGAACUGCAUUUCGAACUGGUAGGCUAGAGUACUGUAGAGGGUGGCGGAAUUUCCUGUGUAGCGGUGAAAUGCGUAGAGAUGGGAAGGAACAUCAGUGGCGAAGGCGGCCCCCUGGACAGAUACUGACACUCAGAUGCGAAAGCGUGGGGAGCAAACAGG